RNAcentral lists this unclassified non-coding RNA (3581 nucleotides) under Leishmania donovani. RNAcentral describes it as "gene:LdHU3.30.1830(CDS-product:amidohydrolase_put ative)". Lineage: Eukaryota; Euglenozoa; Kinetoplastea; Trypanosomatida; Trypanosomatidae. The record is from RNAcentral.
ACGUCUACCGCGCGCGAUCGGUUUACCCGCUUUCCAUUCUCUUAACACACGUGCCUCGCAACAGCCCUCCUCCCCACAUACCUCCACCUUCUCUUUCCCACAAAAUCAUGCCUGUGCCGUUUCAACAGCUGAUGUGUGAGGUGCGCGCGACCGCAGACGAGACGAUCAAGUGGCGCCGCUACAUUCACCAGUACCCGGAGCUGUCGUUCAAGGAGUUCAGGACGGCGGCGUUUGUUGCGGAAACGCUGCGGAGCUUCGGCUGCCCCGCGCUGGCCGUCACACACCCGGUGCCGACGGCUGUUGUGGCGAACCUCACUGGCGGCGCUGGUGACGGGCCGAUAGUGGCGCUGCGCGCCGACAUGGACGCGCUGCCGGGGGACGAGGAGACGGAUUUGCCUUUCAAGUCGCAGAACAUGGGUGCGAUGCACGCGUGCGGGCACGACGCGCACACUGCGAUGCUGCUUAGCGCUGCAAAGGUGAUCUGCGCGCAUCAGGCGGACAUUAAGGGUAGCGUGCGGUUCAUUUUCCAGCACGCGGAGGAGCUGCUGCCCGGCGGCGCGAAGGACCUUGUUGCUGCCGGCGUGAUGGAGGGCGUGAAGAGCAUCUUCGGCAUGCAUUGCUCACCGCGGUACGAGGCGGGCACUGUUGGUCUGAUGCCCGGCAUCAACACAAGCUACACGGAUUUCUUCAAACUGAUAAUCCGCGGUCGUGGCGGCCACGCGUCGACCCCGCAGCUGCUUGUGGACCCCGUACCGAUUACCGCCGAGAUCGUGAUGGCAAUCCAGACGAUUACUGCGCGCAAGAUCGACCCGAGGGUUGUGCCCGUUGUUUCGAUUACAACGAUGACGACGGGACCGAAUGAGAGUCACAACGUGAUCCCCAACGAGGUGAAGCUGAUGGGGACUGUGCGGUCGCGGGACAAGGCUGUGCGUGAGCAGGUGCCGCGCGACAUCGAGCGCAUUGCGUCGAACAUUGCUGCUGCACACGGCGCCGCUGCAACGUUGGACUUCACGUUCGGGUACGACUGCUGCGACAACGACCCUGAGGUAACUGCGCAGGUGCGAUGCAUCGGCGAGCGUAUUCUUGGUUCUGCCAACAUCAUCGAUCCCAAGGUGCCGCUAUAUGGUGGUGAGGACUUUUCUGCGUACCAGCUGGAGAAGCCCGGCUGCUUCCUGUGGCUGGGUACGGCCAACAAGUCGCAGGGUAUCUGCGAGAUGUGCCACUCGACGAAGUUUCGUGUCGAUGAGACCGCGCUCCCGAUUGGUGUCAGCUUCCACGUGGGCUACGUGUACGACAACGUCAUGGCGUAAAGGUGCUGUUGUUGGCGUGGUGAGCUUCCCGUGAUGCAGAGGGAGCUCCCGCGCGUGGGAGCUGUACCACGGGUAGCUUACAUCGCGCCUCCACAAAGGCGCGGGUGCAAACGGCACGCGCGGCUUCUAGUCGUAUUUCCUUUGAUGGGCUGCGCGGUCGUGCGCGCGUAUGCCGGCGCACGCACGUUGGAGAGCUUUGCUCUCCAUCAGUGCGCACAUCGGAAGGAAAACGGAGGGGGUAGGGGGCGGCGGUGUAUUGGUGGAUGCUCAGCCGUUCCUCGAUCGCGUUCGUGUGUGCCCCGGCUUCACAUCUUUCUGAAUCGUCUGGGGCCGUGUCAGACAGGCCUGCUCUCUGCGUUUGUGUCGCGCGAAGAGCAGUGUGUGAGGGGUGCCUUGGCGCGUGCAGUUUUCUUCUUUAUUGGGAGUCGAUUCGACAUGGCAGCGCAGUGCACACGCAGACGUGUUUUUCCCGCUCAUGAGGGAUUGCGACCGGAGCGGGAUGGCCCGCUGCGCUUACCGGGGGCGGUGAACUGACUCCUCCUCGGCACGUCGUAACUGUUUGCGUCCUGCUCAGAAGCCACUUGAUGUAUCGUUUUAUUCUUCCAGUCCCUGCCUCUGUGCCUGCUUGGAAGCGGUAGGGCGAGUACCGAUUCCCACAUGUGGGAAGCAUAAACCCUUUUCUUGCUACUCUAUUUAUCGCGCCCUGAUGACGGGGGGGGCGCACACCUCAGCGCGUCGUAUCCUCAGGGCCCCGCACACCGACUCCGCCGGGAAGCCAGGCAGCCUCCCAGCCCCUACCCAUUGCCCAUGCCGAGCUACUUCCGGCGGUGACACGGUCACGCGCCCACGAAGUGGGGUGGGGGUGGAGGUGAGAGCGAUGUGCUGCUGCUGAUGUCUGCGGUGGGAGACUGGAUGGCGCUGCGUCGGAGCGGGCUGCGGCAGCGAGCACGUCUGCGCCGCCCACAUGAUGGACGAGGUGUGAGCGUGGCUGGAGGAUAUCCCACCCGGCCCUGGCACUGCCUCCUGGUGUGGGGAGCCUGCGCCACGGCGAGGGGGAUGCGCCAGGAGGGGUGGCGGCCGGCGGAGCGGGUGGUUUGCAGAGCUGGAGGCAGCGGCCGUGCUUGUGUGCCUGGGUGGGCGCAGCGCUGUGACGCGUGUGCCCACCGCUGCCUCGUCCCGCGCAAUGUGGGCUCUGACGUGGAACGGUGUGUGCAAGUGUAUGUGGCGUUGAGCUCAUGUUCCACAGCACAGUGAGCCUACUGAAUAUGAAAAACAAAUGUAUCCCUCGCGUGCUCUCCCUGGGCGUGCGCGGACGCGGCUGCAGAAGGUGCCGUUGCUGAGUGUUCGUGUUUUGGUGAUGUCACGCUAUGAUCUGUCUCUGUCUCUCUCUCUAUAUAUACAACUAUAUAUAUGUGUGUGUCGUCUUAUUUUGCCCUGCGAAGGUGCGGGCUGUGUAACGCCUAGUUUAUGCUUUCUCUUCCGACCACCCUAUUCGUGUUUAUCUUCGUAUCGACGAGGCUUUUGUUUACCUGUAGCCCUCUCUCUCUCUUGUGUGCAUGUGUCUCAAGACAUCUCCUCGCCACCCCACGUCCCACCGCGUCCGGUAUCUUGAGCUUGCUCUCUUUUUUUUUUUGCUCUUUACUGUUGUUCUCUCGGCCGCGCGGCACCCUCUGAGGUCAAGUAGGAAGUCGCGGAAGAAGAGACACAUGCUCUGCACGAUCCUUCUUUGCGUUGUGUUCUCUGCCCUUCCCCUUUCUCUCUCCUUUUUGUUUUCUGUAUGGCUGGUUUUCGUUGCAGGCUGGUGUGGUGCUGGUGGGCGGGUGCUUGGGUGGGAGGAUGUGCGCAUGUAUGUGUCCGUGUAAAGCUGUUAUACAUACUUUCGUGCACACGCGUACGUGCACACAUAGAAUACGGAAAACUACUCACCGUAUGCCUAGCGACAACAAAAAGGGAGGAACAUACACACAAACACGCACAAGCAAUCAAUAUUGGUGCACUACUGCGCUGAGAGGGUCGGGGAGGCGUUAAAGGGAGCUCAUACACUCACACGCUGGCCCCGCCUCCUCUCGUGCCGUUAUAUCGUUCAAUGAUUGGCAGCACAGCAAUCAAUCAAGCCACGUGGGAAGGGCCAUGAGAUACUAGUCAGCAUGGGACACUUUAUUUUCCUUUCGCGAGCGUGUGCUCUCUUUUUCUCUACCAAGAGGCUGUCUCUGUGCUUUUUCUGCAGUCUUCCUCCCUCCUAUUUCUUGCGUGUUUGGCUCGUGUCUCUGC